UGUUUAAAGAAUCUCCAACACUUCGAAACAAUAUGGAUUCCAUACCACUUCAACAAUCACUGGAUAGUCAUAGGUGUCGAUGUCGGGAUGAACAUGGCAUGGAUUUGUGAUUCUGCAGAUUUUGACCCUCACACAUAUAAAGACUUCAUGUCAAUUCUCAUUACGGCAUUCAGGGCCUAUGUCAAGAAUCACAAAGGAAGGCAUGAUCCAGGUCUGGGGAGCCACUUGUGUUUCAAAUCUCUAUGUUCGUUUCCCAAGCAAAGGCCAGGGAGUCUGCAUUGUGGAUACUAUGUAUGUGCUUUCAUCAGUAAUAC
This is a long non-coding RNA of Sorghum bicolor (sorghum), 314 nucleotides long. RefSeq lists it as uncharacterized. Lineage: Eukaryota; Viridiplantae; Streptophyta; Magnoliopsida; Poales; Poaceae. The transcript is spliced from 4 exons. The record is from RefSeq and is a predicted model, not a curated record.